This 253-nucleotide ribosomal RNA is filed under the name uncultured bacterium. RNAcentral's name for it is "partial 16S ribosomal RNA". It matches the Rfam family "Bacterial small subunit ribosomal RNA", at positions 524 to 776 of the family's 1533-position model. The record is from RNAcentral.
UACGAAGGGGGCUAGCGUUGCUCGGAAUCACUGGGCGUAAAGGGUGCGUAGGCGGGUCUUUAAGUCAGGGGUGAAAUCCUGGAGCUCAACUCCAGAACUGCCUUUGAUACUGAGGAUCUUGAGUUCGGGAGAGGUGAGUGGAACUGCGAGUGUAGAGGUGAAAUUCGUAGAUAUCGGGAGGAACACCAGUGGCGAAGGCGGCGACCUGGGCCAAUACUGACGCUGAGGUGCGAAAGCGUGGGGAGCAAACAGG